This 263-nucleotide ribosomal RNA is filed under the name uncultured bacterium. RNAcentral's name for it is "partial 16S ribosomal RNA". It matches the Rfam family "Bacterial small subunit ribosomal RNA", at positions 91 to 354 of the family's 1533-position model. The record is from RNAcentral.
CUUAGUGGCGGACGGGUGAGUAACGCGUGGGUAACCUGCCUUACACUGGGGGAUAACACUUAGAAAUAGGUGCUAAUACCGCAUAAGCGCACGAAGCCGCAUGGAUUUGUGUGAAAAACUCCGGUGGUGUAAGAUGGACCCGCGUCUGAUUAGCUUGUUGGCGGGGUAACGGCCCACCAAGGCGACGAUGUCUAGGGGUUCUGAGAGGAAGGUCCCCCACACUGGUACUGAGACACGGACCAGACUCCUACGGAAGGCAGCAG